AGGUCGGAAGGGGUGCGGUGGGACGCAUCCCAGCAUUGACCGGAACGCUCCGCUCUUAGAGCAGCGCCUCACGGCCCCGGUGAGGUCGCGCU
This is a non-coding RNA of Sulfitobacter sp., 92 nucleotides long. The record is from Rfam. NCBI's taxonomy places the organism in Bacteria, Pseudomonadati, Pseudomonadota, Alphaproteobacteria, Rhodobacterales, Roseobacteraceae.